RNAcentral lists this ribosomal RNA (433 nucleotides) under uncultured bacterium. RNAcentral describes it as "partial 16S ribosomal RNA". It matches the Rfam family "Bacterial small subunit ribosomal RNA", at positions 29 to 507 of the family's 1533-position model. The record is from RNAcentral.
AACGAACGCUGGCGGCAUGCCUAACACAUGCAAGUCGAACGAUCCCUUCGGGGAUAGUGGCGCACGGGUGCGUAACGCGUGGGAACCUGCCCUUAGGUUCGGAAUAACUCAGAGAAAUUUGAGCUAAUACCGGAUAAUGUCUUCGGACCAAAGAUUUAUCGCCUUUGGAUGGGCCCGCGUUGGAUUAGCUAGUUGGUGGGGUAAGGGCCUACCAAGGCGACGAUCCAUAGCUGGUCUGAGAGGAUGAUCAGCCACACUGGGACUGAGGCACGGCCCAGACUCCUACGGGAGGCAGCAGUGGGGAAUAUUGGACAAUGGGCGAAAGCCUGAUCCAGCAAUGCCGCGUGAGUGAUGAAGGCCUUAGGGUUGUAAAGCUCUUUUACCCGGGAUGAUAAUGACAGUACCGGGAGAAUAAGCCCCGGCUAACUCCGUG